AGUGGACUUGGAGUCAGAAGG
This 21-nucleotide microRNA is filed under the name Rattus norvegicus (Norway rat). Its description in RNAcentral is "rno-miR-378b". Its record names the gene rno-miR-378b. Lineage: Eukaryota; Metazoa; Chordata; Mammalia; Rodentia; Muridae. The record is from miRBase by way of RNAcentral.